AGAGUUUGAUCAUGGCUCAGAAUGAACGCUGGCGGCGUGCCUAACACAUGCAAGUCGAGCGAGAAAGUUCCUUCGGGAAUGAGUAAAGCGGCGGACGGUUGAGUAACACGUGAGAAUCUACCCUUUAGUGAAGAAUACCUUCGAGAAAUCGAAAUUAAUACUGCAUAAGUCCCUUCGGGGAGAAAAGUGGCCUCUUUGCUACUGCUAAAGGAUGAGCUUGCGGACUAUCAGCUAGUUGGUGAGGUAAAGGCUCACCAAGGCUAUGACGGUUAGCCGGCCUGAGAGGGUGAACGGCCAGACUGGAACUUAGACACGGUCCAGACUCCUACGGGAGGCAGCAGUGAGGAAUAUUGCGCAAUGGGCGAAAGCCUGACGCAGCGACGCCGCGUGGAGGAUGAAGGUUUUCGGAUCGUAAACUCCUGUUAAGUGGGAAGAAAAGUCUGUGGUUAAUACCCGCAGAAAAUGACGGUACCAUUAUAGAAAGCACCGGCUAACUACGUG
Molecule: ribosomal RNA, 501 nt
Filed under: uncultured bacterium
Lineage: Bacteria
Description: bacterial SSU rRNA
Rfam family: Bacterial small subunit ribosomal RNA
Source: RNAcentral